UAUCAGUGUUUUCUUUUCCUUUCUCGGAGGAAGCUGCAAGGCUGUUCAAUCUUACAUUUUAUUGUUUGUUAUAAAGAUACAAAAUCGAUCAGCAGUAUUCUACAGUUUAAAAAAGAAAAGAGAAGGAUGGUUUGGGGGGCUGAACUCAAUUGCUUCCAUUUAGGAAAGCUUUUUCACCCAGAUCAACCCUUGCCAUUAUCCACAGGAGCUCAGGAGGGGACUCUGAAUUAAUCAGUUGAAAUGUACAUUAUGUCCUCCUUUGCUAUUUGCAUUUGCCCUCUGUCUCUUCUAUUCGGUGCCUGUGUCCUGUUGGGCUGGCCUCGCUUUCUCAAAACGAACGAAAGGUAUAGAUAUGCCACUUCCCACUCGUCCGGAGAUAAUGUACUCUGAUCUUGGUUGCCAUCACCCAAGGCGCCAAGUCGUCGCAUUAGAUCCACGAAUUCAGGUUUUUUCAAGUACUCAUGCACAAAUUCGUGCGAGUUCUUGACAAAAACCAACUCUAAGUCAUACUCUUCAGCCAACAAUUUGAAAACAUGAAAUGGGACAAUCCAUUCGGGACAAUCAACAGCAUCCUCUAGAUGAAACAAGUACUUUAUACCAAAGGGGCUGGAAGCGUUAA
Molecule: unclassified non-coding RNA, 619 nt
Filed under: Hevea brasiliensis (rubber tree)
Lineage: Eukaryota; Viridiplantae; Streptophyta; Magnoliopsida; Malpighiales; Euphorbiaceae
Source: RNAcentral